GGUUAAGCGACUAAGCGUACACGGUGGAUGCCCUGGCAGUCAGAGGCGAUGAAGGACGUGCUAAUCUGCGAUAAGCGUCGGUGAGGUGAUAUGAACCGUUAUAACCGGCGAUUUCCGAAUGGGGAAACCCAGUGUGUUUCGACACACUAUCAUUAACUGAAUCCAUAGGUUAAUGAGGCGAACCGGGGGAACUGAAACAUCUAAGUACCCCGAGGAAAAGAAAUCAACCGAGAUUCCCCCAGUAGCGGCGAGCGAACGGGGAGGAGCCCAGAGCCUGAAUCAGUGUGUGUGUUAGUGGAAGCGUCUGGAAAGGCGCGCGAUACAGGGUGACAGCCCCGUACACAAAAAUGCACAUACUGUGAGCUCGAUGAGUAGGGCGGGACACGUGGUAUCCUGUCUGAAUAUGGGGGGACCAUCCUCCAAGGCUAAAUACUCCUGACUGACCGAUAGUGAACCAGUACCGUGAGGGAAAGGCGAAAAGAACCCCGGCGAGGGGAGUGAAAAAGAACCUGAAACCGUGUACGUACAAGCAGUGGGAGCCUCUUAAUGGGGUGACUGCGUACCUUUUGUAUAAUGGGUCAGCGACUUAUAUUCUGUAGCAAGGUUAACCGAAUAGGGGAGCCGAAGGGAAACCGAGUCUUAACUGGGCGUUAAGUUGCAGGGUAUAGACCCGAAACCCGGUGAUCUAGCCAUGGGCAGGUUGAAGGUUGGGUAACACUAACUGGAGGACCGAACCGACUAAUGUUGAAAAAUUAGCGGAUGACUUGUGGCUGGGGGUGAAAGGCCAAUCAAACCGGGAGAUAGCUGGUUCUCCCCGAAAGCUAUUUAGGUAGCGCCUCGUGAAUUCAUCUCCGGGGGUAGAGCACUGUUUCGGCAAGGGGGUCAUCCCGACUUACCAACCCGAUGCAAACUGCGAAUACCGGAGAAUGUUAUCACGGGAGACACACGGCGGGUGCUAACGUCCGUCGUGAAGAGGGAAACAACCCAGACCGCCAGCUAAGGUCCCAAAGUCAUGGUUAAGUGGGAAACGAUGUGGGAAGGCCCAGACAGCCAGGAUGUUGGCUUAGAAGCAGCCAUCAUUUAAAGAAAGCGUAAUAGCUCACUGGUCGAGUCGGCCUGCGCGGAAGAUGUAACGGGGCUAAACCAUGCACCGAAGCUGCGGCAGCGACGCUGAUGCGUUGUUGGGUAGGGGAGCGUUCUGUAAGCCUGUGAAGGUGGCCUGUGAGGGUUGCUGGAGGUAUCAGAAGUGCGAAUGCUGACAUAAGUAACGAUAAAGCGGGUGAAAAGCCCGCUCGCCGGAAGACCAAGGGUUCCUGUCCAACGUUAAUCGGGGCAGGGUGAGUCGACCCCUAAGGCGAGGCCGAAAGGCGUAGUCGAUGGGAAACAGGUUAAUAUUCCUGUACUUGGUGUUACUGCGAAGGGGGGACGGAGAAGGCUAUGUUGGCCGGGCGACGGUUGUCCCGGUUUAAGCGUGUAGGCUGGUUUUCCAGGCAAAUCCGGAAAAUCAAGGCUGAGGCGUGAUGACGAGGCACUACGGUGCUGAAGCGACAAAUGCCCUGCUUCCAGGAAAAGCCUCUAAGCAUCAGGUAACAUUAAAUCGUACCCCAAACCGACACAGGUGGUCAGGUAGAGAAUACCAAGGCGCUUGAGAGAACUCGGGUGAAGGAACUAGGCAAAAUGGUGCCGUAACUUCGGGAGAAGGCACGCUGAUAUGUAGGUGAAGCGACUUGCUCGUGGAGCUGAAAUCAGUCGAAGAUACCAGCUGGCUGCAACUGUUUAUUAAAAACACAGCACUGUGCAAACACGAAAGUGGACGUAUACGGUGUGACGCCUGCCCGGUGCCGGAAGGUUAAUUGAUGGGGUUAGCGGUAACGCGAAGCUCUUGAUCGAAGCCCCGGUAAACGGCGGCCGUAACUAUAACGGUCCUAAGGUAGCGAAAUUCCUUGUCGGGUAAGUUCCGACCUGCACGAAUGGCGUAAUGAUGGCCAGGCUGUCUCCACCCGAGACUCAGUGAAAUUGAACUCGCUGUGAAGAUGCAGUGUACCCGCGGCAAGACGGAAAGACCCCGUGAACCUUUACUAUAGCUUGACACUGAACAUUGAGCCUUGAUGUGUAGGAUAGGUGGGAGGCUUUGAAGUGUGGACGCCAGUCUGCAUGGAGCCGACCUUGAAAUACCACCCUUUAAUGUUUGAUGUUCUAACGUGGGCCCCUUACCGGGGUUGCGGACAGUGUCUGGUGGGUAGUUUGACUGGGGCGGUCUCCUCCUAAAGAGUAACGGAGGAGCACGAAGGUUGGCUAAUCCUGGUCGGACAUCAGGAGGUUAGUGCAAUGGCAUAAGCCAGCUUGACUGCGAGCGUGACGGCGCGAGCAGGUGCGAAAGCAGGUCAUAGUGAUCCGGUGGUUCUGAAUGGAAGGGCCAUCGCUCAACGGAUAAAAGGUACUCCGGGGAUAACAGGCUGAUACCGCCCAAGAGUUCAUAUCGACGGCGGUGUUUGGCACCUCGAUGUCGGCUCAUCACAUCCUGGGGCUGAAGUAGGUCCCAAGGGUAUGGCUGUUCGCCAUUUAAAGUGGUACGCGAGCUGGGUUUAGAACGUCGUGAGACAGUUCGGUCCCUAUCUGCCGUGGGCGCUGGAGAACUGAGGGGGGCUGCUCCUAGUACGAGAGGACCGGAGUGGACGCAUCACUGGUGUUCGGGUUGUCAUGCCAAUGGCACUGCCCGGUAGCUAAAUGCGGAAGAGAUAAGUGCUGAAAGCAUCUAAGCACGAAACUUGCCCCGAGAUGAGUUCUCCCUGAGACUUAGAGUCUCCUGAAGGAACGUUGAAGACGACGACGUUGAUAGGCCGGGUGUGUAAGCGCAGCGAUGCGUUGAGCUAACCGGUACUAAUGAACCGUGAGGCUUAACCUU
This 2905-nucleotide ribosomal RNA is filed under the name Escherichia coli. Its description in RNAcentral is "23S ribosomal RNA". It matches the Rfam family "Bacterial large subunit ribosomal RNA". Lineage: Bacteria; Pseudomonadati; Pseudomonadota; Gammaproteobacteria; Enterobacterales; Enterobacteriaceae. The record is from RNAcentral.